CUGCUUUCUCUCUUAAGAUUCUCAUUCUGGGGGAAGCCAGCUGCCACGUCGUGAGGGCAUGAAGAGACCCACAUGGGGGUGAACUGAAGCCACCAGCCAACAGCCACAUGAGUGAGCCCGGAGGUGGAUCUUCCCGCCCCAGCUGAGCCCUCAGAGGACGUCAGCUCUGGCUGACACCCUGAAAGCAACUUCAUGACAGACGCCAAGACAGAACCACACAAUUAGUUCCAUCAUUCAGCCAAGGUUUUAGUAGGAAGGAUGUCUCAUUUGGCCAAAGGGACAAGUGCAGCAUUGGUGCCGAGGAGCACGUGCCCAGGGAAUGCCAACUGCAGACCGAGUGAAAGCAGCAAAGUCUCUGUACAUUUCUGUGAACCUCAAGAAAACGCUGAAACUAAGAACACACAAGUUACAGGAAGCUGACAAACUAUCCAGAACAUUUAAAAAUCUUUUGUCAGUGUUGAGUGAUGUGACCUUUAUGAACUGAAUACGUCCUAAAUCUUCUCAAGGACACAUCAAUGUCAUCUGCCCUUUGUUCAUCCACCAGGCUGCCUGGAGCCCAAACCUGUUCAUCUGGGUCCUAAAGAGAAAGUCCAGGGAGGGGAGGCGGGACUGUGUAAGAGUGCUACCUCAGGUGAGCUCGGCUGUCUGGCCGUGAGCGUGUCCUACAGGGUAUACCAAAUGUCAGUGCUUAGGGUCAACAAAAAAGUGACUCUACAUCGUAGGACAUUGGUGCAUUAAUAACUUAUAACAUUUAAAGGGUCUGGAAAAUGAACACCAAAAAAUGUAAAUAUGAAAAUACAAAUAAAAAUUUUCACCCUAAAA
Balaenoptera ricei (Rice's whale) is the source of this 822-nucleotide long non-coding RNA. RefSeq lists it as uncharacterized. The record is from RefSeq and is a predicted model, not a curated record. The transcript has 2 exons. NCBI's taxonomy places the organism in Eukaryota, Metazoa, Chordata, Mammalia, Artiodactyla, Balaenopteridae.